RNAcentral lists this ribosomal RNA (465 nucleotides) under uncultured bacterium. RNAcentral's name for it is "partial 16S ribosomal RNA". It matches the Rfam family "Bacterial small subunit ribosomal RNA", at positions 339 to 795 of the family's 1533-position model. The record is from RNAcentral.
CUACGGGUCGCUGCAGUGGGGAAUAUUGGACAAUGGGGGAAACCCUGAUCCAGCAAUGCCGCGUGUGUGAAGAAGGCCUGCGGGUUGUAAAGCACUUUCGGUUGGGAGGACUGCUUCUAGCACUAAUAUUGUUGGAAGUUGACGUUACCUUCAGAAGAAGCACCGGCCAACUCCGUGCCAGCAGCCGCGGUAAUACGGAGGGUGCAAGCGUUAAUCGGAAUUACUGGGCGUAAAGCGCGCGUAGGCGGUUAGAUCAGUCGGGUGUGAAAGCCCCGGGCUUAACCUGGGAACUGCAUCCGAUACUGUCUAGCUUGAGUACAGGAGAGGAGAGUGGAAUUCCACAUGUAGCGGUGAAAUGCGUAGAUAUGUGGAGGAACACCAAUGGCGAAGGCAGCUCUCUGGCCUGAUACUGACGCCGAGGUGCGAAAGCGUGGGGAGCAAACAGGAUUAGAUACCCUCGUAGUC